RNAcentral lists this ribosomal RNA (683 nucleotides) under uncultured Burkholderiales bacterium. RNAcentral describes it as "bacterial SSU rRNA". It matches the Rfam family "Bacterial small subunit ribosomal RNA", at positions 67 to 739 of the family's 1533-position model. The record is from RNAcentral. Lineage: Bacteria; Pseudomonadati; Pseudomonadota; Betaproteobacteria; Burkholderiales.
CAGCGAGGAGAAGCUUGCUUCUCUGUCGGCGAGUGGCGAACGGGUGAGUAUAGCAUCGGAACGUGCCAAGUAGUGGGGGAUAACCAAACGAAAGUUUGGCUAAUACCGCGUAAGCUCCAAGGAGGAAAGUAGGGGACCUAAAUAAGGCCUUACGCUAUUUGAUCGGCCGAUGUCGGAUUAGCUAGUUGGUGGGGUAAUGGCUCACCAAGGCAAUGAUCCGUAGCGGGUCUGAGAGGACGAUCCGCCACACUGGGACUGAGACACGGCCCAGACUCCUACGGGAGGCAGCAGUGGGGAAUUUUGGACAAUGGGGGAAACCCUGAUCCAGCCAUGCCGCGUGUAUGAAGAAGGCCUUAGGGUUGUAAAGUACUUUUGUUAGGGAAGAAAAGCUAGUUUUUAAUAAAAAUUAGUGAUGACGGUACCUAAAGAAUAAGCACCGGCUAACUACGUGCCAGCAGCCGCGGUAAUACGUAGGGUGCAAGCGUUAAUCGGAAUUAUUGGGCGUAAAGCGAGUGCAGACGGUUACUUAAGCCAGAUGUGAAAUCCCCAAGCUUAACUUGGGACGUGCAUUUGGAACUGGGUGACUAGAGUGUGUCAGAGGGAGGUAGAAUUCCACAUGUAGCGGUGGAAUGCGUAGAGAUGUGGAGGAAUACCGAUGGCGAAGGCAGCCUCCUGGGAUAACA